GUAGUUUAUGGUUGGGGUCCAAGCAAGGGAUAGAAUCUUGGACAGAACCAACAGAAUGCCCAAUCCACUCCAAUCCUCACAGCAACUCAAAAAGAUAUCUCGCUCUUCAAUUUUGAGCAUCUGUGGGCCCUGUUCUGCAACUAUACUUUCCACUUUCAGACAACACUUGCCAUUUGAAUUCCUCUGCACUAUAACUUCCGAAACAUUUCACACCUUACAAUAGGUACCAGAAUUGAUCCACCAGAUAUUUUUCUCUGCAAAUUCAUAUUCGUCGUCUAGCAAGGUAGGCACCGUAUUCUCAGUUCUAAGAGAAAUUUCCUUAGGCAAAUCCACUAUCUUUGUGGUCUUUGAAACCUUCAGUCACCUUUCCUUCCUAGAGAAUGAUUCUUAGAACUCCCAUAACUUUAUUACUUAGCUUAAACUCGAGUUACUUUUAACUUGCUAGUAUGGCUAUUAAAUUAAUGAUAUUACAUAUGGGACUUAGUUUCUGGUUAUCUGUGUUAAAGGGUGCAGGUGGAGACAUAAUAAAAAUGUAACUGGUUAAAUUUGGAGAAUGUAGAAGAAGAUUCUGUUGACUUGAGCAUCUAGAAACUUGGAAUUUGACACAAGCUGAAGGAAAAAAUGGUUGAGAGAUGCUCCUCCUUGGGAUUGUUUGAAGGACGGGAAUGGAAUAUGGAACACAUUCUAUUUUGUCUCCUUUAUUAAGUUUGGUACUUAUUCAUCCUACAGUUCAAAAAAAAAAAAAAAAAAGUAAGAGGGGCCCAAAAUUUUUCAUUCUUCAAUUGAAAAAAAAAAAAAGGAAUAUGACAGCAUGCCCCACAUCAACGAAUCUGAAGCUGCUGGGACCCAUUGAAAGCUAAAAAAGAAAAGGAUUGUACUUGCUUUGUUACUUGCAUUUCAUGGAAGAUAUGACAAAUUAUGGCCUGAAGAGGACCACUCUCCUGUCCUUGAAUUGAGCCUUGGUUGGCUUUGCAGAUUUUCUGGACAAGCUGAAGCUCAUACAAAAGUAACCAUUUCAUUUGAGAAUCGUUUUUAUGGAUUAGUCAAUCAUCAAGGAUAAAACACAUAAGAUGCUUAUUGGCGGCGAUCUGUUACUGGUGCUGGCAUUGGCUGAAACAAAAGAAAUGACCACGGAAUGCAAUUCCUUGUGGAAAAAAGUUGGGGGAGAAAAAGUUGGAAAGAUGCUGUGGAAUGGAAUGUGAGAAUCUUAACUCAAACUAAAGCCAAUGCUUGCGCGUCACUGGCGUUGUGGUCCAUCAGUAUCCCGGUCCCUUUUCACCGCUGAGAAGUUCAAAGGAUCGGUUAAUCCAAACUUGAUGGGGGUGCGGGCGCAUGAGUUAGGCCUGGACUUGAAAAUGCUGUAUAUGCAAGAGAAGGAUGUACAUCUAAAGCCAAAUGAUAAUCUAUUCAGAAUUGCAAUUACUUUUAGAAUCUCUUUGGGGCUUCUGUUGUGCCUGAUCAAUGAACCUUUCACCCACAGAGGGAAUCCAUCUUCCUACUUUAAGGAGCACCUAGCAAUUUUACAUUUUUAGAGAAACACAGAAUACAAUGAAACCAUUUUCUGUAUCCAUCUAUUCUUUUUAAA
Molecule: long non-coding RNA, 1585 nt
Organism: Cornus florida
Lineage: Eukaryota; Viridiplantae; Streptophyta; Magnoliopsida; Cornales; Cornaceae
Exons: 3
Source: RefSeq, a predicted model, not a curated record